RNAcentral lists this ribosomal RNA (253 nucleotides) under uncultured bacterium. RNAcentral describes it as "partial 16S ribosomal RNA". It matches the Rfam family "Bacterial small subunit ribosomal RNA", at positions 524 to 776 of the family's 1533-position model. The record is from RNAcentral.
UACGUAUGGAGCAAGCGUUAUCCGGAUUUACUGGGUGUAAAGGGAGCGUAGGCGGCUCUGUAAGUCUGAUGUGAAAAUUUGGGGCUCAACCCCAAACGUGCAUUGGAAACUGCAGGGCUUGAGUGCCGGAGAGGCAGGCGGAAUUCCUAGAGUAGCGGUGAAAUGCGUAGAUAUUAGGAGGAACACCAGUGGCGAAGGCGGCCUGCUGGACGGUAACUGACGCUGAGGCUCGAAAGCGUGGGGAGCAAACAGG